GGUUACUACACUCGGAUUAGUACACUCGGAUUACUACACUCGGGUUAGUACACUCGGGUUAGUACACUCGGAUUACUACACUCGGAUUACUACACUCGGAUUACUACACUCGGAUUACUACACCGGGUUACUACACUCGGGUUACUACACUCGGAUUACUACACUCGGAUUACUACACUCAGAUUAAUACACUCAGAUUACUACACUCGGGUUACUACACUCAGAUUACUACACUCAGAUUACUACACUCAGAUUCUACACUCGGGUUACUACACUCGGGUUAGUUCACUCGGGUUAGUUCACUCGGGUUAGUACACUCAGAUUACUACACUUUGUGAAUUAAAGCUGUAUUGACUUGUCUUAGUGCUAAACAAUAUACAUCUGUAACUGGUAUGCUACAAAUGAUCAAUAAUAAUCAUCUGAUUCAAAACAA
This is a long non-coding RNA of Ictalurus punctatus (channel catfish), 433 nucleotides long. The record is from Ensembl. Lineage: Eukaryota; Metazoa; Chordata; Actinopteri; Siluriformes; Ictaluridae.